AGUGAACGCUGGCGGCAGGCCUAACACAUGCAAGUCGAGCGGCAGCGGGUCCCCGCGAGGGAGUGCCGGCGAGCGGCGGACGGGUGAGGAACACAUCGGAAUCUGCCUGGUUGUGGGGAGUAGCGUAGGGAAACUUACGCUAAUACCGCAUGCGACCCUGAGUCGACGGACUUGGGGUGAAAGUGAGGGACCUUCGGGCCUCACGCGACCAGAUGAGCCGAUGUCGGANAGUCUAGUUGGCGGGGUAACGGCCCGCCAAGGCGACGAUCCGUAGCUGGUCUGAGAGGAUGAUCAGCCACACUGGGACUGAGACACGGCCC
RNAcentral lists this ribosomal RNA (320 nucleotides) under uncultured bacterium. RNAcentral describes it as "bacterial SSU rRNA". It matches the Rfam family "Bacterial small subunit ribosomal RNA", at positions 30 to 332 of the family's 1533-position model. The record is from RNAcentral.